This 492-nucleotide ribosomal RNA is filed under the name uncultured bacterium. RNAcentral's name for it is "partial 16S ribosomal RNA". It matches the Rfam family "Bacterial small subunit ribosomal RNA", at positions 29 to 507 of the family's 1533-position model. The record is from RNAcentral.
AGUGAACGCUGGCGGUAGGCCUAACACAUGCAAGUCGAACGGCAGCACAGUAAGAGCUUGCUCUUACGGGUGGCGAGUGGCGGACGGGUGCGUAAUACAUCGGAAUCUACUUUUUCGUGGGGGAUAACGUAGGGAAACUUACGCUAAUACCGCAUACGACCUACGUGUGAAAGCAGGGGAUCUUCGGACCUUGCGCGAUUGAAUGAGCCGAUGUCGGAUUAGCUAGUUGGCGGGGUACAGGACCACCAAGGCGACGAUCCGUAGCUGGUCUGAGAGGAUGAUCCGCCACACUGGAACUGAGACACGGUCCAGACUCCUACGGGAGGCAGCAGUGGGGAAUAUUGGACAAUGGGCGCAAGCCUGAUCCAGCCAUACCGCGUGGGUGAAGAAGGCCUUCGGGUUGUAAAGCCCUUUUGUUGGGAAAGAAAAGCAGCAGGUUAAUACCCCGCUGUUCUGACGGUACCCAAAGAAUAAGCACCGGCUAACUUCGUG